RNAcentral lists this ribosomal RNA (403 nucleotides) under Fusobacteriota bacterium. RNAcentral's name for it is "Fusobacteria bacterium partial 16S ribosomal RNA". It matches the Rfam family "Bacterial small subunit ribosomal RNA", at positions 355 to 776 of the family's 1533-position model. The record is from RNAcentral. Lineage: Bacteria; Fusobacteriati; Fusobacteriota.
UGGGGAAUAUUGCACAAUGGAGGGAACUCUGAUGCAGCGACGCCGCGUGAACGAAGAAGGCUUUCGAGUCGUAAAGUUCUUUUAUAUGGGAAGAUAAUGACGGUACCAUAAGAAAAAGCCCCGGCUAACUACGUGCCAGCAGCCGCGGUAAUACGUUGGGGGCUAGCGUUGUCCGGAAUCACUGGGCGUAAAGGGUUCGCAGGCGGAAAUGCAAGUCAGGUGUAAAAGGCAGUAGCUUAACUGCUGUAAGCAUUUGAAACUGCAUAUCUUGAGAAGGGUAGAGGUAAGUGGAAUUUUUAGUGUAACGGUGAAAUGCGUAGAUAUUAAAAAGAAUACCGGUGGCGAAGGCAACUUACUGGGCUCAUUCUGACGCUGAGGAACGAAAGCGUGGGUAGCAAACAGG